Molecule: unclassified non-coding RNA, 234 nt
Filed under: Periconia sp.
Lineage: Eukaryota; Fungi; Ascomycota; Dothideomycetes; Pleosporales; Periconiaceae
Description: partial internal transcribed spacer region
Rfam family: Eukaryotic small subunit ribosomal RNA (bases 1-46)
Source: RNAcentral
AAGUCGUAACAAGGUUUCCGUAGGUGAACCUGCGGAAGGAUCAUUACGAAAUGUUGUAGUAUUGAAGCGCCCCACGGCGCUCCUACACUUCACCCUUUGCCUAUACGUACCUUAUAGCUUCCUCGGCAGGCUUGCCUGCCGCUAGGAACCAACCAAACCCUUUGCAUUAUACAUGAAAACUUCUGAUACAAACCUAAAUUAUCACAACUUUCAACAAUGGAUCUCUUGGUUCUG